This 774-nucleotide ribosomal RNA is filed under the name uncultured Neocallimastigales. RNAcentral's name for it is "partial large subunit ribosomal RNA". It matches the Rfam family "Eukaryotic large subunit ribosomal RNA", at positions 24 to 635 of the family's 3401-position model. Lineage: Eukaryota; Fungi; Neocallimastigomycota; Neocallimastigomycetes; Neocallimastigales. The record is from RNAcentral.
UAUGUGAUCGUCUCUCGCAUAUCAAUAAGCGGAGGAAAAGAAACUAACAAGGAUUCCCCUAGUAACGGCGAGUGAAGCGGGAAGAGCUCAAAUUUGAAAUCUUAAAGGGUUUCCCUUUACGAAUUGUAGUUUAAAGAAGUGUUUUCUGUUGAGGUUUUGGUAAAAGUUCUUUGGAAUAGGACAUCAUAGAGGGUGAGAAUCCCGUAUUUGACCUUUACUUUCAACUUUGUGAUACACUUUCAAAGAGUCGGAUUGUUUGGGAAUGCAGUCCAAAAUGGGUGGUAAAUUUCAUCUAAAGCUAAAUAUUGGCGAGAGACCGAUAGCGAACAAGUACCGUGAGGGAAAGAUGAAAAGAACUUUGAAAAGAGAGUUAAACAGUACGUGAAAUUGUCAAAAGGGAAGCGUUUGACACCAGUGUUGUUUUUCUGAAAAUCAAUUAAAGAACUGUUUAUGCUAAGUUGUUUAGACUUUAUCAGCUAUCUGUUUAGUUUUGAGCUUUUCUUUAAUGCACUUUUCAGUUAACAAGUCAACAUCAAUUUCUUUUGCUGUAAAAAAGCUUGAGGAAGGUGGCCUGAGAUUCGUCUUAAGUGUUUAUAGCCUCUUGCCUAUGCAGUCGGAGAGAUUGAGGUCUGCAGCGUAGAUCCUUCGGGGCUAAAUGCAUUUGUGCUAAGUUAUAGCAUUUUAUAGACAACUUGUUGACUAUGAUUUGUCUUGUAGCUUACUCGCUUAUGUUAUUUUACCUACGCUUAGGAUGUUGAUCUACAGAGCGAGAGU